This 254-nucleotide ribosomal RNA is filed under the name uncultured bacterium. Its description in RNAcentral is "partial 16S ribosomal RNA". It matches the Rfam family "Bacterial small subunit ribosomal RNA", at positions 524 to 776 of the family's 1533-position model. The record is from RNAcentral.
UACGUAGGGGGCGAGCGUUGUCCGAAGUUACUGGGCGUAAAGCGCGCGUAGGCGGGGGGUUAAGUGAGAGGUGAAAGGCUGGGGCUCAACCUCAUGCAGUGCCUCUCAUACUGGCCUUCUUGUGGGCGGUAGGGAGAAGUGGAAUGGCUGGUGUAGCGGUGAAAUGCGUAGAUAUCAGUCGGAACACCGGUGGCGAAGGCGGCUUCUUGGGCCGUUCCUGACGCUGAUGCGCGAAAGCUGGGGGAGCGAACGGG